This 82-nucleotide transfer RNA is filed under the name Archangium sp. RNAcentral describes it as "tRNA-Leu". It matches the Rfam family "tRNA". Rfam says of the family: Transfer RNA (tRNA) molecules are approximately 80 nucleotides in length. Lineage: Bacteria; Pseudomonadati; Myxococcota; Myxococcia; Myxococcales; Archangiaceae. The record is from RNAcentral.
GGGCAGGUGGCGUAACUGGUAGCCGCGCCAGACUUAGGAUCUGGUUCCGCAAGGAGUGGGGGUUCGAGUCCCCCCCUGCCCA